This 73-nucleotide transfer RNA is filed under the name Cordylochernes scorpioides. RNAcentral's name for it is "tRNA-Thr". It matches the Rfam family "tRNA". Rfam says of the family: Transfer RNA (tRNA) molecules are approximately 80 nucleotides in length. The record is from RNAcentral. Lineage: Eukaryota; Metazoa; Arthropoda; Arachnida; Pseudoscorpiones; Chernetidae.
UCCAGGGUAGCCUAGUGGACAUGGCAUCUGCCCGGUAAGCGGAACAUUGUGGGUUCGAUUCCCAUCUCUGGAC